GACGAACGCUGGCGGCGUGCCUAACACAUGCAAGUCGAGCGAACAGACGAGGAGUUUGCGCCUCCGACGUAAGCGGCGGACGGGUGAGUAACAUGUGGACAACCUAGCUAUAAGACUGGGAGAAUAUUGGGAAAUAGGAGCUAAUAGGGGAAAAUAUAUCGAACCGAAUGGAUCACUAGUGAAAGACGGUAUUGGGGGCAGUAAUGGAUGGAUACGCGUCGCAUUAGUAAGUUGGUGAGGUAAAGGCUUAGCAAGGCAAGGAGGCGUAGCCGACCCGAGAGCGUGGUCGCACAGACUGGUACUGAGACACGGUACAGACUCCUACGGUAGGACGCAGUCGGGACUCUUCCGCGAUGGGCGAGUGCCUGACCGUGCACCGCCGCGUGAGUGAUGAAGUACCUCGGAUCGUAAAACUCUGUUAGUAGUAAAGAACAAAUGUGUUAGUAACUAUGCACAUAUUGACGGUACCUACACAGAAAGCCACGGCUAACUACGUG
Molecule: ribosomal RNA, 497 nt
Filed under: uncultured bacterium
Lineage: Bacteria
Description: partial 16S ribosomal RNA
Rfam family: Bacterial small subunit ribosomal RNA
Source: RNAcentral